GCGUAUGUCCGAUAGAUCUACCCGUUGUGGAUUGGAGAUUUGAAAAGGAUAUUAAAAGAAAACAAUUGCUUAAUUAUAGUAUUGAUUUCGGAGUUUGUAUAUUUUGUGGCAAUUGUGUUGAGUACUGUCCAACAAGCUGUUUAUCAAUGACUGAAGAAUAUGAACUUUCUACCUAUGAUCGUCAUGAAUUGAAUUACAAUCAAAUUGCUUUAAGUCGGUUACCAAUCUCCAUAAUGGGAGAUUACACAAUUCAAACAAUUAGGAAUUCGUCUGAAAGUAACAUAUCUUUUUCAUAGAUAUUUAGAAUGAAUAUGUUCCCUAUGGUAACUGGGUUCAUGAGUUAUGGUCAACAAACAAUACGUGCUACAAGGUACAUAGGUCAAAGUUUCAUAACUACCUUAUCCCACACAAAUCGUUUACCUAUAACGAUUCACUACCCUUAUGAAAAAUCAAUUACACCAGAGCGUUUCCGAGGGCGAAUCCACUUUGAAUUUGAUAAAUGUAUUGCUUGUGAAGUAUGUGUUCGCGUAUGUCCGAUAGAUCUACCCGUUGUGGAUUGGAGAUUUGAAAAGGAUAUUAAAAGAAAACAAUUGCUUAAUUAUAGUAUUUAUUUCUCUUCAUUUCUAUCACAAUAAGAUGGACUUUACCGAGGAUGAGAAUGGAUCAGUUAUUAAAUCUUGGAUGGAAAUUUCUUUUACCUAUUUCCCUGGGCAAUCUCUUAUUAACAACCUCUUCUCAACUUGUUUCACUAUAAAUAAGAUAAUACAAUAAUAGUAAGAAUAUUUUCAACACAAAAGCUCUCUCAAACAAGAGAAAGAAACAUAUCUUUUUCAUAGAUAUUUAGAAUGAAUAUGUUCCCUAUGGUAACUGGGUUCAUGAGUUAUGGUCAACAAACAAUACGUGCUACAAGGUACAUAGGUCAAAGUUUCAUAACUACCUUAUCCCACACAAAUCGUUUACCUAUAACGAUUCACUACCCUUAUGAAAAAUCAAUUACACCAGAGCGUUUCCGAGGGCGAAUCCACUUUGAAUUUGAUAAAUGUAUUGCUUGUGAAGUAUGUGUUCGCGUAUGUCCGAUAGAUUUACCCGUUGUGGAUUGGAGAUUUGAAAAGGAUAUUAAAACAAAACAAUUGCUUAAUUAUAGUAUUGAUUUCGGAGUUUGUAUAUUUUGUGGCAAUUGUGUUGAGUACUGUCCAACAAGCUGUUUAUCAAUGACUGAAGAAUAUGAACUUUCUACCUAUGAUCGUCAUGAAUUGAAUUACAAUCAAAUUGCUUUAAGUCGGUUACCAAUCUCCAUAAUGGGAGAUUACACAAUUCAAACAAUUAGGAAUUCGUCUGAAAGUAAAAUAAACAAAGAAAAAUCUUCGAAUUCAAGAACGAUUACUGAUUACUAAACUUUGAUUUUGUCUUUUUGUUAUAAAAAUCUAAUAAUUCUUUAUUAAACUUUAAAAUUAAACUAUAAAGAAAAACUACUGCUUAUUGGAAAUUAUUUCUUAUUUUAAAUCAGACUAGAUUUUCGUGAUAUAAUAUAAUUUAUAACUAUACAGUUUAUACACAAAAAAAUACCCUAAUCCUUUUUUCCUUCCUUGAAUCCUUUAGUUUUAGUCAGUUCAUGAAAAAA
Molecule: long non-coding RNA, 1621 nt
Filed under: Triticum aestivum (bread wheat)
Lineage: Eukaryota; Viridiplantae; Streptophyta; Magnoliopsida; Poales; Poaceae
Description: long non-coding RNA (TAES_LNC024852)
Source: RNAcentral